GGGGGCGAAAAGGGUUCGACGGGGGUGAUUGACGCUAGGAUGGCAUGCCGAGGUCCUGUUAGCUCGUUAAACUGACAGGGUUAAAAUACUCGCAGACAACUACGAGUACGCCCUGGCUGCUUAAGGGCAGCCAGCGUUCUUUCAGCUUUUUCCUGCGGGGCUGAAAAGAGCGUCAUUUUAGCAGGAUAACUCUCUUCCCGAUGCUCAUAGGGAAGAGGGCGAAAACGGCAUGAGCUAGCGUUUCGGACAUCCUGCCCGCUGGAGAGCUGAGCCGCGAAAUCUAAAAAACGGGCUAAGCAUGUAGAAGUCCUAGGGGAACGCUUCCGGACGGGGGUUCGAUUCCCCCCGCCUCCACCA
Molecule: transfer-messenger RNA, 357 nt
Filed under: Pseudomonadota bacterium
Lineage: Bacteria; Pseudomonadati; Pseudomonadota
Description: Proteobacteria bacterium (marine sediment metagenome) transfer-messenger RNA
Rfam family: transfer-messenger RNA
About the family: Bacterial tmRNA, also known as 10Sa RNA or SsrA, is named for its dual tRNA and mRNA-like properties.
Source: RNAcentral